CUUUUGAUUUCCAGAUGCUGCUC
RNAcentral lists this non-coding RNA (23 nucleotides) under Rattus norvegicus (Norway rat). The record is from RNAcentral. Lineage: Eukaryota; Metazoa; Chordata; Mammalia; Rodentia; Muridae.